Molecule: small nucleolar RNA, 67 nt
Filed under: Neotoma lepida (desert woodrat)
Lineage: Eukaryota; Metazoa; Chordata; Mammalia; Rodentia; Cricetidae
Description: Small nucleolar RNA SNORD56
Rfam family: Small nucleolar RNA SNORD56
About the family: U56 belongs to the C/D class of snoRNA which contain the C (UGAUGA) and D (CUGA) box motifs.
Source: Rfam by way of RNAcentral
CCAAUGUGAUGGAUGUCUCAGCAAGAGCAGGUCACGUAGUAAGUACUGAUACUUUGGGUUUGAGUGA